CAGAGGGUGCAAACGUUGCUCGGAAUUACUGGGCGUAAAGCGCGUGUAGGCGGGCCGGAAAGUCGGGCGUGAAAUCCCUGGGCUCAACCCAGGAACUGCGCUCGAAACUUCCGGUCUAGAGUGGUGGAGAGGGAAGUGGAAUUCCUGGUGUAGAGGUGAAAUUCGUAGAUAUCAGGAGGAACACCAGUGGCGAAGGCGGCUUCCUGGACACUAACUGACGCUGAGACGCGAAAGCGUGGGGAGCAAACAGGAUUAGAUACCCUGGUAGUCCACGCCGUAAACGAUGGGCACUAGGUGUCGCGGGUAUUGACCCCUGCGGUGCCGUAGCUAACGCGUUAAGUGCCCCGCCUGGGGAGUACGGCCGCAAGGCUA
Molecule: ribosomal RNA, 372 nt
Filed under: uncultured organism
Description: bacterial SSU rRNA
Rfam family: Bacterial small subunit ribosomal RNA
Source: RNAcentral